This 2780-nucleotide long non-coding RNA is filed under the name Canis lupus familiaris (dog). RNAcentral describes it as "lncRNA (ENSCAFG00000056459.1)". Lineage: Eukaryota; Metazoa; Chordata; Mammalia; Carnivora; Canidae. The record is from RNAcentral.
GGGGCACCUCACAGCAUGUACAUUUGAGGGGGUCACUCGUACAGAAGAGGAGCAGGAGUUGAAAGGAAUCAUGACGUUUUUGUAGAUGAGACACCCACCACAGAAAGCAUUUCUGACAUUUUAAUUAUCUGCUUAAUGUUAAAACACACUCACUUAAAACAUUUGAUAGUUAUCCCCAUCUAUAAAUAACGGUAGAGAUUACAUACAUUAUUCUACGUUUCCGAUCAAUAGAAUAUGGCAAAACUGAUGAGAUGUGUGUGAUUAUGUGUGAUUACGUGGUUAUGCGACUUAAGAUUUCAACAUCAAAUUUGCUGGGGUCUCUUUCUCUCUGGCUUUGAGGAUGCAAGUAUUCGGUUGUGGACCCCCCCCCUUCCCUUGUAAGGAACUGUGGGUGGCGUCUAGGAGCUAAGGGCAGCUUCUGACCAAUAGCCAGUAAAAUGUUGAAGCCCUCAGUUCUACAACUGCAGGAAACUGACCUCUGCCAGUAACUGCCCCAGUGGGGUCUUGAAUGGGACUGCAGCCUUCUAAGACCUGGAGCAGAGGACUCACUACCCUGAUGCCUGGACUCCUGACCCACAGAAAUCGUGAAAUAUCAAAUGUGUGUUGUCCAAAGCCACUAAGUUGGUGGAAAUAUUGUUACUUAGCAAAAGAUCGCUAGUACAGUUAUCUUUUAGAAUUUAUAUAGUUUUAUGUGCAUGUCUUUGAUCCAUUUCAACUUAAUUUUUUUAUAGAUAGAUCAUCUUUCUCUCUCCCCCUCCCUCUGUUUUUUUUUUUCCAUAUGACCGUCCAAUUAUGCAAGCACCAAUUGUUGAACAUAUUAUCCUUUUCCCAUUGAAAUGCUUUGGGAUUUUUGUCAAAAGAUGAUUGACUCUAUGAAUAUAAAUCUGUUUCUGACAGUAUAAAGUAUAAAGGAGCCUCGGUGUCCAUCGAAAGAUGAAUGGAUAAAGAAGCUGUGGUCUAUGUAUACAAUGGAAUAUUCCUCAGCCAUUAGAAAUGACAAAUACCCACCAUUUGCUUCAACGUGGAUGGAACUGGAGGAUAUUAUGCUGAGUGAAGCAAGUCAAUCGGAGAAGGACAAACGUAUGUUCUCAUUCAUUUGGGGAAUAUAAAUAAUAGUGAAAGGGAAUAUAAGGGAAGAGAGAAGAAAUGUGUGGGAAAUAUCAGAAAGGAAAACAGAACAUAAAGACUCCUAACUCUGGGAAACGAACUAGGGGUGGUGGAAGGGGAGGAGGACGGGGAGUGGGGUGAAUGGGUGAUGGGCACUGAGGGGGGCACUUGACGGGAUGAGCACUGGGUGUUAUUCUGUAAGUUGGCAAAUUGAACACCAAUAAAAAAUAAAUUUAUUAUAAUAAAUAAAUAAAUAAAUAAACAAAUAAAUAAAAAGGCUGUAGGCCAUGAGGCUGUUAUCUGAACAGCCUUCAAAAAAAUAACACUCUGUUUUUAAGAGCAGUUUUAGGUUUACAAAAAAAUGAGCAGAAAAUGUAGUUUUCUACAUUCUGCUCACCCCUUCUCACUUCCCCUAUUAUUAAUGCCUAUAAAAAAAUCUUAUUACCUACAUGUACAGUCUAAAAAACAGAUAUAAACCAAAAGAAGAUAAAGAUUAUCCAUAAUUCUCUUAUUCAGAUGGAACUAUUAAAAAAUAUUUCAACGUAUGGCACCUGGGUGGCUCAGUCGAUUAAAUGGUCCAACUCUUGGUUUUGGCUCAGGUUGUGAUCUUAGGGUCGUGAGAUCAAGCCCCGUACUCCCUGCUAAGUGUGGAGCUCGAACGUGGGCUCAAGUUCACGACCCACGAGAUCAUGACCUGAGCUGAAACCAAGAGUGGGACACUCCACAGGCUGAGCUGCCCAGGCGCCCCAACAUCCUCCCAUUUAGCACAUAUUGUUUUACCUUUUCAUUAUCAUGGUAUGGAUGGACCAUAAUUUGUUUAAACACUUUCCCAAACUGCCUUUGUCAUACAGCAAUAUGUUUUCAAGACCUUUCUGUAGCUCCCAUGUGGAUCUCCCUCAUUUCCCCCCAUUGCCUGGUACCCUGCUAUAGGAAUAUGCCGAGGUAUAUUUUUCCAUUGACAGUUUGUUCCCAAUUUUCCUCUAUCACAACAAUAACAUUUCUAGUACAUAUCCCCUUAUGAGUUUCUUUAAGGGACCCAUUCCCAUAUCUCCAAAGCAUCACUCUGGCGGUUGUGUUGUGAAUACACUGGGGUCAGUGAACAAGAAUGGAAGCAGGGAAAUCGGUUGAGAGACCGUUUCAGUCGCCCAGGGGAGUGGCAAGGGUGGUAGUGACAAGUGGUUGGAAUGGGGUACCUCUUGGAGGUAGAGGUAAUGUGAUUUGCUGAUGCUAAGGUGUAGUAUGUGAGAGGAAAUGAAGAGUCAGAGAGAUUCUCAAGUUUGGGGUCUACAUAAUUAAGAGGUUGAUGGUACUGUUCACUAAGAUACAGGACACUGGGGGAUGAGCAGCUUUAGGGAGAAGAUCAAUCAUCACAAAUUCUGGUUUGGAAAAUGAAGGUUCAACACCCAUCAGGUUUCCCGGUGGAGAUGUGGAGAAAUUGGGAGUCCAGGGAAAAGCUCAGGGCCGGAGAUCCCAGGAGUCACAAGUUUGAGGAUCGUAUUUAAAACUAUGAGACCCUGGACGCCUGGGUGGCUCAGCGGUUGAGCAUCUGCCUUUGGCUCAAGGCGUGAUCCUGGAGACCCAGGAUCGAGUCCUGCAUCGGGCUCCCUGCAUGGAGCCUGCUUCUCCCUCUGCCUGUGUCUCUGCCUCUCCCUCUGUGUGUUUCUCAUGAAUAA